Molecule: ribosomal RNA, 448 nt
Filed under: uncultured soil bacterium
Lineage: Bacteria
Description: partial 16S ribosomal RNA
Source: RNAcentral
UUCGAUUCGGUGUGACAAGGCCCGGGAACGUAUUCACCGCGGCGUGCUGAUCCGCGAUUACUAGCGAUUCCAACUUCAUGGAGUCGAGUUGCAGACUCCAAUCCGAACUGAGAGCGGCUUUUUGGGAUUGGCUCCCCCUCGCGGGUUUGCGACCCUUUGUACCGCCCAUUGUAGCACGUGUGUGGCCCUGGACAUAAGGGCCAUGAUGACUUGACGUCGUCCCCACCUUCCUCCGGCUUAACGCCGGCAGUCCCCCUAGAGUGCCCAACUGAAUGGUGGCAACUAAGGACGAGGGUUGUGCUCGUUGCGGGACUUAACCCAACACCUCACGGCACGAGCUGACGACAGCCAUGCAGCACCUGAACCGGCGGUCCCCGAAGGGAAAAUCCUAUUUCUAGGACGGUCCGCCGUUGUCUAGCCCAGGUAAGGUUCUUCGCGUUAAUCACUA